Molecule: ribosomal RNA, 253 nt
Filed under: uncultured bacterium
Lineage: Bacteria
Description: partial 16S ribosomal RNA
Rfam family: Bacterial small subunit ribosomal RNA
Source: RNAcentral
UACGAAGGGGGCUAGCGUUGUUCGGAAUUACUGGGCGUAAAGGGCGCGUAGGCGGUACUUCAAGUCAGGCGUGAAAGCCCCGGGCUCAACCUGGGAACCGCGCUUGAGACUGGAGAACUAGAGUUCGGGAGAGGAUGGUGGAAUUCCCAGUGUAGAGGUGAAAUUCGUAGAUAUUGGGAAGAACACCGAUGGCGAAGGCAGCCAUCUGGACCGACACUGACGCUGAGGCGCGAAAGCGUGGGGAGCGAUCCGG